This 69-nucleotide ribosomal RNA is filed under the name Oxalobacteraceae sp. CFBP 8755. Its description in RNAcentral is "partial 16S ribosomal RNA". It matches the Rfam family "Bacterial small subunit ribosomal RNA", at positions 1465 to 1533 of the family's 1533-position model. Lineage: Bacteria; Pseudomonadati; Pseudomonadota; Betaproteobacteria; Burkholderiales; Oxalobacteraceae. The record is from RNAcentral.
GGAUUCGUGACUGGGGUGAAGUCGUAACAAGGUAGCCGUAUCGGAAGGUGCGGCUGGAUCACCUCCUUU